RNAcentral lists this non-coding RNA (25 nucleotides) under Drosophila melanogaster (fruit fly). The record is from RNAcentral. Lineage: Eukaryota; Metazoa; Arthropoda; Insecta; Diptera; Drosophilidae. RNAcentral also lists the same sequence under 17 other names.
GCGACCCCAGGUCAGGCGGGACUAC